Molecule: ribosomal RNA, 372 nt
Filed under: Triticum aestivum (bread wheat)
Lineage: Eukaryota; Viridiplantae; Streptophyta; Magnoliopsida; Poales; Poaceae
Description: partial small subunit ribosomal RNA
Source: RNAcentral
AUGGCCCCGAGCCGGAGACCCAAACCUCCUCCCAACGCCCACCCUGAACCGCCAACCGGAGUCCCGAAAUCGAUCCACUCCGCUGGGCUCAUGCAGGCGGCGCAGCGCAUCCACCGAGUCCGGGCCAACCUACGGCUCCACGGCCCGCCCGCGCCGCCCACGAGGCCGGCCUCCGCGAGCUGGGCCUCCUCGACUUCGUCCGCCUCGACCUCCCCUCCUCCGGCGCCCGCGCCCCGACCUCGUCGCCGAGCUCAUCGCCAACCACAGAUCCGUCAACUUCGAUCUCGAGUCGAGCUCCGUCCGCGGCGCCAGGAUCGAUCUCUCCAUCGGCGCGUUCGCGGAGGCGCUCCGCCUCCCAUGGCCGCCUACUGA